CAUAAAAUAAAUAAAACUCACCAAUCAAAGUGUGGAAGUCUCCGAACACCCGCUCCAUGGAUCGUGUGAGGCACAGCGACCACUUCAGCCCGCUGCCCAUGACCGCUCCACUUCUUAGCUCCGAAGUUGAUGUCUGUUGGAAGAUGCGAGCGGGUCGGUGAUGUCGCAGCAGAAGCCCGCUCCAGCUCACGCUCACGCUCAUGGUACGGCGAGAGCACUAUCCGCUGUGUGUUGCCCGCUCCAGCACUUUUAAGUUCCCGAGCGGGUUUGUCUUCCCGCAAAACCAAGCCGCUGUAUGUUCCGUUCGAUUCCGAGCGGUGAUCUUGGACCGCUGCAUCAAGUCGCUAAGAGGUGAGCUCCAACGUCUUCUUCUUCACCUUGUCCAAGCUCGAUCUGCGAUUUUUCCACCAUUAGAGCACUGGUCCAAGAUCCUCGGUCAUCUCCUCCGCCAUGAAAGGACCACUGCUGCACUCCUCCGUAGCGUCCCAGAGAUCCACUCGUCGUCGUCGCUUCAAGCCUCGCCGCUGCGAAGCUUCACCGCGACCAAACCUCCAUGGCGUCAAUGUCUCCAUCUCCGCCGCUUGCUCCGCCACGGGAUCUCUCGUCCAAGUCAGCUCAGAUCCCCGUCGUGCUCUGCUCUGGUGAGGCUCGUCGUCGCUUCGCCGUCGUCGGAGUUGUGCUCCAGAUUCCACGAAGAGAAGGCUCGUACUCAACAAUGGUGCAUUUCCUCCUAUUUGCGCAUCUGGUCCUUCGUCUUUCGGGACAAAAUUUCAUGCUUCAGUUUGUGAACAACUCAUCAAAAAAUUUGAAGGUUGUCUAGUUAUUCAAAGUGUACGAUGCUAUCGGACAAGCUCUCAUCCGUACAAAAUUGGGUUCUUCCAUGCGACUUUUGUUGCAAAACCAAAUGAUUUUCCAAGUGAAGUUUCCGAGGAGUAUUUGGCUGAUUACACUGAAAUUCCUGGUGGAAAAGCUGAUAACAGCUGUUUGGUUGGUGCUUACUCCAUAUCUAGCGGGUGGAAUUCAAUCCAAAUUUUACUCAACCCAACAUGGAUUUGGUUGACCAGUUCAAAACAAGUCUCCCUAAUGAUUCACUUGCUCUUACAAACAACGAUAGUACCCAAUGGUCUGUUGGUACUGCUACAUCUGUUCGUGCCAAGUUUUUUGUUCUUAAUGAGAAGAGAAUCAUAAGAGAGAUCAUUGAUAGUACUCUGGUAUAUAAACUAAACUCUCCAUUUUAGUUGACUAUAAUCCAGUUUUCACACUAUUUCGAUGAUGGUUUCUAAUGGAUUUUGCUUUCUUUAUCGAAAAUGUUACUUCUUAAUUUAUAUUACUUAUGGAUUAUAUUCUGACUUUUAUUAUAUGUUCUUUAAAUAUGUCAUUAUUUUUAAAUACAAUGGAAGAUAUAUAGA
Molecule: long non-coding RNA, 1409 nt
Organism: Brassica oleracea var. oleracea
Lineage: Eukaryota; Viridiplantae; Streptophyta; Magnoliopsida; Brassicales; Brassicaceae
Exons: 5
Source: RefSeq, a predicted model, not a curated record